This 468-nucleotide ribosomal RNA is filed under the name uncultured bacterium. RNAcentral describes it as "bacterial SSU rRNA". It matches the Rfam family "Bacterial small subunit ribosomal RNA", at positions 329 to 794 of the family's 1533-position model. The record is from RNAcentral.
UGCCAGACUCCUACGGGAGGCAGCAGUGAGGAAUAUUGGUCAAUGGGCGGGAGCCUGAACCAGCCAAGUCGCGUGAGGGAAGACGGUCCUAUGGAUUGUAAACCUCUUUAGGCGGGGAGCAAUGCCGGGCACGUGUGCCCGGAGGGAGAGUACCCGCAGAAUAAGCAUCGGCUAACUCCGUGCCAGCAGCCGCGGUAAUACGGAGGAUGCGAGCGUUAUCCGGAUUUAUUGGGUUUAAAGGGUGCGUAGGCGGAUUUUUAAGUCAGCGGUAAAAUGUCCGGGCUCAACCCGGGCCGGCCGUUGAAACUGGCGGCCUCGAGUGGGCGAGAAGUAUGCGGAAUGCGUGGUGUAGCGGUGAAAUGCAUAGAUAUCGCGCAGAACUCCGAUUGCGAAGGCAGCAUGCCGGCUCCACACUGACGCUGAGGCACGAAAGCGUGGGUAUCGAACAGGAUUAGAUACCCCCGUAGC